Molecule: ribosomal RNA, 253 nt
Filed under: uncultured bacterium
Lineage: Bacteria
Description: partial 16S ribosomal RNA
Rfam family: Bacterial small subunit ribosomal RNA
Source: RNAcentral
UACGGAAGGGGCAAGCGUUGUUCGGAAUCAUUGGGCGUAAAGGGCGCGUAGGCGGUCCUGAUCGUCGGAUGUGAAAGGCCUGGGCUCAACCUGGGAAUGGCAUCCGAUACGGCGGGACUGGAGUGUGGGAGAGGUUGGUGGAAUUCCCAGUGUAGAGGUGAAAUUCGUAGAUAUUGGGAAGAACACCGGUGGCGAAGGCGGCCAACUGGACCACAACUGACGCUGAGGCGCGAAAGCGUGGGGAGCAAACAGG